CCAAAGGACCUCCAAACUCCAGUCAGUAAACGCAGACGUCUGAUAAACAAGUUAAUAAACUAAAACUUUCAACAACGGAUCUCUUGGUUCUGGCAUCGAUGAAGAACGCAGCGAAAUGCGAUAAGUAAUGUGAAAUUGCAGAAUUCAGUGAAUCAUUGAAUCUUUGAACGCACAUUGCGCCCCCUGGUAUUCCGGGGGGCAUGCCUGUUCGAGCGUCAUUACAACCCUCAAGCUCUGCUUGGAAUUGGGCACCGUCCUCACUGCGGACGCGCCUCAAAGACCUCGGCGGUGGCUGUUCAGCCCUCAAGCGUAGUAGAAUACACCUCGCUUUGGAGUGGUUGGCGUCGCCCGCCGGACGAACCUUCUGAACUUUCUCAAGGUGACCUCGGAUCAGGUAG
This 398-nucleotide ribosomal RNA is filed under the name Lasiodiplodia theobromae. RNAcentral describes it as "eukaryotic LSU rRNA". The stretch from base 64 to 218 matches the Rfam family "5.8S ribosomal RNA". The record is from RNAcentral. Lineage: Eukaryota; Fungi; Ascomycota; Dothideomycetes; Botryosphaeriales; Botryosphaeriaceae.